CGAGUGGGGGACAACUUACCGAAAGGUGAGCUAAUCCCGCAUGACAUCUCGAUACAUAAGUAUUGCGAUUAAAGAGGGGGAUCCCUUCGGGGACCUCUCGCUUGAGGAUGAGCUUAUGCCCUAUUAGCUAGUUGGUAGGGUAAUGGCCUACCAAGGCGAUGAUGGGUAGCCGAGCUGAGAGGCUGAUCGGCCACACUGGAACUGAUACACGGUCCAGACUCCUACGGGAGGCAGCAGUGGGGAAUUUUGCGCAAUGUGCGAAAGCCUGACGCAGCGACGCCGCGUGAGGGAUGAAGGUCUUCGUGAUCGUAAACCUCUGUCAGGAAGGAUUAAAUAUACGGGUGCUAAUACCAUUUGUAUUUGACUUAACUUCCAGAGGAAGCCCCGGCUAACUACGUGCCAGCCGCCGCGGUAAUACGUAGGGGGCUAGCGUUACUCGGAUUUAUUGGGCGUAAAGCGAAUGUACGCGGUUUGUUAAGUCAGGCGUGCAAACCCUCAGCAUAACUGAGGAAUGGCCUUUGAUACUGCCGAACUUGAGGACAGGAGACGCACAGUGGAAUUCCCGGUGUAGCUGCUGGCAAUGCGUAGAUAUCGGGAGCACACCUGGAGGCGAAGGCGGCUUUCUGGACUGAUCCUGACGCUGAGAUUCGAAGGCUAGGGAAGCAAAUAGCAUUAGAUACCACUGGAAAGUCGUAGCUGCUAACCGAUGGAUACUAGAUCUUGCUAGAGUGGACCUCGGUCGUAGCUACGCGUUAAGUAUUCCCGGCAUGGCGAGUACGGAUCGCACUGC
RNAcentral lists this ribosomal RNA (790 nucleotides) under uncultured bacterium. RNAcentral describes it as "bacterial SSU rRNA". It matches the Rfam family "Bacterial small subunit ribosomal RNA", at positions 133 to 894 of the family's 1533-position model. The record is from RNAcentral.